UGGGGAAUAUUGGACAAUGGGCGAAAGCCUGAUCCAGCCAUGCCGCGUGUGUGAAGAAGGUCUUCGGAUUGUAAAGCACUUUAAGUUGGGAGGAAGGGCAUUAACCUAAUACGUUAGUGUUUUGACGUUACCGACAGAAUAAGCACCGGCUAACUCUGUGCCAGCAGCCGCGGUAAUACAGAGGGUGCAAGCGUUAAUCGGAAUUACUGGGCGUAAAGCGCGCGUAGGUGGUUUGUUAAGUUGAAUGUGAAAUCCCCGGUCUCAACCUGGGAACUGCAUCCAAAACUGGCAAGCUAGAGUAUGGUAGAGGGUAGUGGAAUUUCCUGUGUAGCGGUGAAAUGCGUAGAUAUAGGAAGGAACACCAGUGGCGAAGGCGACUACCUGGACUGAUACUGACACUGAGUUGCGAAAUCGUGGGGAUCAAACA
Molecule: ribosomal RNA, 427 nt
Filed under: uncultured bacterium
Lineage: Bacteria
Description: partial 16S ribosomal RNA
Rfam family: Bacterial small subunit ribosomal RNA
Source: RNAcentral